AACACUCUGUUUAUGCUCUCU
Molecule: microRNA, 21 nt
Filed under: Anopheles gambiae (African malaria mosquito)
Lineage: Eukaryota; Metazoa; Arthropoda; Insecta; Diptera; Culicidae
Description: aga-miR-10367-3p
Source: miRBase by way of RNAcentral